This 2555-nucleotide long non-coding RNA is filed under the name Drosophila guanche. Lineage: Eukaryota; Metazoa; Arthropoda; Insecta; Diptera; Drosophilidae. The record is from RNAcentral.
UGAAGUUGGCUAAUUCGUCCACGCUCGCCUUACGCAGUUCUUCCAUGGCUGGCUUCCUCUGGAGCAAACUUAUCUCUGCUUCUGUCAUAAGGCGGUCGGCUUCCAGCCUCCUAGCUUGUGCGUCUGGCGAAUUUUUACUUUUAAUCUGUCUGUUCAUGUUCUGCAGAAACUGCGACGACACGCCAGAAACAGAAAAACGCUCUGUAUGUAUUUUCUUAUACUGCGACGAACAGACGCCAAAACGUACAUAUAGUAACAUAUCCAUAAUGCCCUACACCCACAUACGCAUGAAGCUGAGCUCCUUCACAAAAACGCGUUGAGUACAUACAAGAACUGUACCCGACGCAAUAAACCAGACAGUCACGAAUACUGUUUGGAGCCAUUGAGGUGCAGCUGACCGAAGAAGCACAACGACUCUCACAAAUGGUGCAACACAACACCUGGCUGGAGCUGAAAAAUGCUCUAAUAGACGAAUUCAAGAACCACACACCAUACGAAGAACUUCUGCGACAAAUCUACUUCACAAAAUUCAAAUAUAUAAUAAAAUUUGUGAAGGUUGCAGACCAAAAAUAAAAUUUAGAAUGCCUGUACUAAAAUUGUAUUAAGACAAUUUUUUUUGGGAACAGUCUUUCUUAUUUUAUCGCAACAAUAUUGACCCUUCCCCACUGUACGUGCGUUUCAGAGAACUGCAUGCAAGAUCAGAAGCUUUUAUCUCGAAAAGCUCUAUAUCUCUUUCUCUCUCUCUCUCUCGAACAUUGCACGUGCACGCGCCGUUCACAUGCAAGCUUUUCUCUCCGCAAGCAUAGCUUACGGCACUAACCAAAUAGUAUACUAUUUGGUUAGUGCUUACGGCCAUAAAGCAACUAUAUAAGGAGGCCUUGUCGGUGGUAGAGUUACUCGCUGCGUUACCCAAUUCCCAGUGCACGUUUGCUUGUCGACGCGGAACGUUGGUUGCGGACAACAUUUUUUUUUCAAUAUUUUUUUAAAUGUUUAUUUUUUUAGAACACAGGCUACUAUUAUGUAGCAAACUAUUAAAAAUUAAACUAUGAAACAAUUAUAAUGUUUUUUCACAUUGCCUUCAAAUGAUUAAUCAGCACACUCCAUUGUCGUUGCCCUCACACUUACAGCGAGAGCCCUUCCACUCGCACUUUCACUCGCACCAGCCCAUAAUUUUUUCCGACGAGACCUCCUUAUAUAGUUGCUUUAUGCUUACGGCUACAGCUUUUGGAGGGGGUAAAUAAGUUAGACUAAGUGCAUGCGGCACAGAGCAAAAAUUUGAUUUAAAGUUGAAAGACAUAAUUAAUGUGCGCAUAGAGAAUAUAUAAAAAACGUUGUGAAAAUUCUGCAAAUAUAAAAGCGAACAUAAAUCCCAGAAAAACAAUCUGAAAAGUUUGGUGGCUGCAGCGAUACAAAAAAAAAAACAAACCCUGGAUAAGGUACGCAAAGAAUUAAUGGAAAAAGUAACCUUAUUACAUAAUCUCAUGUAUAUACAUAUAAAUAGGUUAUGAACCACGUGGGGCAGUAUAACUGCUGACCUGGCCGUUCUGGGCCUGACCAUCGCUCUCGGACGUGGUCCACUCCAACAUCACGAUCAUCAGUCCCAUCAUUUUUUUGCUACAGCGAUCUCCUCAGUCUCUCCUAUCGAAAUCAUUUUAUAUAUAUAUUUUUCAAAGACAAAACUGUAAAAACCUAUACAAAAAAAAAUUUUUUAAAUUCAAAGCGUCAAAAUUAAAUGAAGAUAAUAAAGUUUUACGGGUCUAUGCGAACAUUCAUCGAGAAUAGGUAGGUAAUACAGCCGAUUACUAAUCCAGAUACAAAGGAUGCUAAGAAAAAAUACUUAAGCGGACGAUAAUAGCCUGGCGCCAAUUUAUCGUAUCCAGCGAAUAUCUACAAACUAUAGGAAACGAACAAGGUAAAAGCAUGCGAAAUGUAUCUGAGCAACGGAACAAAGGCUGUUUUUAAGCUUUUAUUUAUCCAGUACGCUAAGAAAUGCAUGUUUUGGGAUGCUAAUUGACUUCAGACAGGGCUGUGUAUUUAUAUUGAAAUUUACAACAGAUCCACAAUCUGUGCACAAGCAUUUACGGGAAGAAAUUAACAACGAAAUUAAAUAAACUGAAAUGUUCAAUAGUGUACUGGUCUGAGUUUAAGAAAUAAGCGAAGAGGCCACCGAAAUUCUGGCCCCACGUUGGGCGCCAAAAUAAUUGUAUGUAUACAUGUACUGUAGUAUAAAACGUUAUUGAGCUGGUGAAAGGUGAUGAGCUUCUGCGGGGCAGCGCUUGUUCCGGUAUGAAUCCGCUGCUCUAUCCGCUCGUCUAUAUACAUAAAGUUAAAGUUAAAAAUUCGCGUGCGAUGAACAAGUCGGUUUAUGAAACACUAAUGAAAAGAAACGGACAGAACAUAGACUAAACUCCUAGCAUCCAGACUUUUAUUUUGUGGUGCAAGAUGGAAACGCGGCCACGAAUGCCCUCCCUUUCAUGAUCGCUUUAAUCCAAUAAAGUUAAACGGCGAUCCUGUAUAAAAAGUCUAUGCCGCAAUACCUCUUCCUACGUUCCCUA